UCCUACGGGAGGCAGCAGUGGGGAAUAUUGGACAAUGGGCGCAAGCCUGACCCAGCCAUGCCGCGUGAGUGAUGAAGGCCCUAGGGUUGUAAAGCUCUUUCACCGAUGAAGAUAAUGACGGUAGUCGGAGAAGAAGCUCCGGCUAACUUCGUGCCAGCAGCCGCGGUAAUACGAAGGGGGCUAGCGUUGUUCGGAAUUACUGGGCGUAAAGCGCGCGUAGGCGGUUACUCAAGUCAGAGGUGAAAGCCCGGGGCUCAACCCCGGAACUGCCUUUGAAACUAGGUGACUAGAAUCUUGGAGAGGUCAGUGGAAUUCCGAGUGUAGAGGUGAAAUGCGUAGAUAUGCGGAGGAACACCGAUGGCGAAGGCAGCCCCCUGGGCCAAUACUGACGCUCAUGCACGAAAGCGUGGGGAGCAAACAGGAUUAGAUACCCUGGUAGUCCACGCCCUAAACGAUGUCAACUAGUUGUUGGGGAUUCAUUUCCUUAGUAACGUAGCUAACGCGUGAAGUUGACCGCCUGGGGAGUACGGUCGCAAGAUUAAAACUCAAAUGAAUUGACGGA
RNAcentral lists this ribosomal RNA (562 nucleotides) under uncultured bacterium. RNAcentral's name for it is "bacterial SSU rRNA". It matches the Rfam family "Bacterial small subunit ribosomal RNA", at positions 337 to 917 of the family's 1533-position model. The record is from RNAcentral.